This 73-nucleotide transfer RNA is filed under the name Otolemur garnettii (small-eared galago). It matches the Rfam family "tRNA". From Rfam's summary of the family: Transfer RNA (tRNA) molecules are approximately 80 nucleotides in length. Their secondary structure includes four short double-helical elements and three loops (D, anti-codon, and T loops). The record is from Rfam by way of RNAcentral. Lineage: Eukaryota; Metazoa; Chordata; Mammalia; Primates; Galagidae.
GUGCCUGUGGCUCAGUGGGUAGGGCACCAAUGCCAUAUACUGAGGGUGGUGGGUUCAAACCCAGCCAGGCAUU